AUGUCUCAGGAUAGGAAACUCAAAUUAUGUGCUCCAGAUAUGCACAAAGUUUUUGAGUUUCCUUGUGGACGUACAAAUAUUCAUGGUAUUGAUGCUCAGACAACUGCUUCUAUUGACUUCUUGAAGAAAAAUAUAGGUAUGGUUGGAAAUGAUUCUCACGGUUUGAAGGCAGCAGAAAAUUUCUUAGCCAGAGAUAUAAUUGAGUUAUCAAGUAAAGCUAAAAACGCAUGCUUUAAGGCAGCAUGUGUUAUAUUUUUUAUGGGCCAUUUGGGGACACCUUCUUUUAAAGAUGACCACAUUAUUGUUGAUUAUCUGGGAGCUCUGUGUAGGACCGAUUACAUAGAAUAA
This 348-nucleotide ribosomal RNA is filed under the name Triticum aestivum (bread wheat). RNAcentral's name for it is "partial small subunit ribosomal RNA". The record is from RNAcentral. Lineage: Eukaryota; Viridiplantae; Streptophyta; Magnoliopsida; Poales; Poaceae.